GCAUUCUUGGGCGCUAGAGGCCCCAAGAAUUCUGGGGGGCAAUAGAUUUUACCAAGUAGAUUUAUCGAGAGAUUUGUUGGAGAGGUGUAAAGUGGGUAGCUAAUAAAUGUUCAGUGCGUUCCGUUUUAAACAUUCUUUCGUUAAUACACUGAAUUUGCAAUUUUUACGUACCAACCUGAGGGACAGUACAGUGCAGUUCCUAUCCGCAGCCCUACAGUGUGCAAAAAUAGACAGUGGGAAAAAUCUGCUCAUCAUGCUGAUCUGCACAAUGCUGGCUUCAUAUAAGUGACCUAUCAACAGACUACACAGUAUUAAAAGACUCUUCCCUUAUAAGGAAAUUUGUAGUUGAGGACUUUCUUUAGGUGACCCAUUGUAUCACAAAUAUUUUCCUGCUUCUUGUAACGUGGAACAUAGGAUGUCUUGAUGCCAACCAAGUGUCAUUGAAAGAUUGUAAAAAGAUGGUUCAGCAGGAAAAAACCUAUAGCUGGAGGAUGAUACAUUUGUUUCUUGUUACUAGUUUUGUAAACAAAGGGUAAAUUGGUAAAAUGAAACAACACAUGACCUAUUGCUUUAGAUCUAUUGUUUUCACAAAUGGAUAUCACCCAUGGCUUUGUGGAUGGGUUGCCUUGGAAGCUGAAGAUUUUGAAUCAAUCUCCAUUUUUGAAAACAAUUUAUUUAAAGUAAUAGGUCACACUCACAUGUUGUUUUACUUUACCGACUAUAUCGUAUUCAACGAUUUAUUAUAAUAUAUUUAUAAUAAUUUAUUUUUCCCUUUUAACUUGUGUAUAAGUUUGUAAACAUAAGUCUGGCUUAAAAAGUAAGACUUAAUUACUAAAAUAGAUUUCGAUAGAUGGCAGCGCAGAUGCAGAUUGGCAUUUGGCAGUGCAUCUAUGUUUUUUUUUGGUCCCGAUCUGGCAACGUCAAUGCGAUUAAACAUUCGUCUGAAGUUGUCCAUCGCUUAACAGAAGGAAGCAUGGGUCACCACGAAUAAUCUUCUGAUACGUAGUCCGUUUUUUUAAAAUCUGUUCAUUGUUUCAAUAUGGCUUUUCGUAAUUCCUUGGGUAUUGACACUCUCUAACCAACAAAGAAACUGCCUAUUCACGUUACUUUCAUCAAUUUUUUCAUAGCUGUACAUUAUUUAAUUAUAGAGAACAUCUUGCCAUUCAUAUGAAUGCCUUUGUCUGAUCUGAUCGUGUCAACAUGCUAAUUCCCUUCUUGCCACUGGUCGAAGCUUUCUUGUCAAAUUUUGUAUCUUUCCAUUUAAACGUAUCUCACAGAAGCAUUCUGGCAUGGGUCAGGAUAUAGGUAACAGAAAUGGCAUGGGUCCCUUUGGGUGUUGAGCCUGGCCUACACCCUCCGUGUUGGAACAAAUAAUAACAUGGAGGUGGAGCCUCAAUUUUGGACUUGAUUUGUCACCAUUGGCUGAUUUGGAAAAAUGGAUUGGACCAAUCAUUUUAUUCCCACACUCAUUGGAAUUUUGGCAUGGUAGCUGUUGCAGGACACUCUCCUUGGUUUGUUAGUGAGGUUUCAGAAAGCAGCAUUCCAAGAGCAAGAACCUAAUUUACCGGCUGUCAACCCAAUAUAGAUUAUUUAACUUUGUCUUCUUGCAUUGAUGAGAGAAAGCACAUGAGAAGAGUUAGUGAAAUGUGUCAACAGAGCAAAAUGCAAAACUUGAAUUGAAUUCAACAAAACUACUUUAAGUUUGCAGUGGCAAAAAUGUAAAGUUGGUGGCAGGAUAAUGGCUAUCAGUGUUGAGAAUUUGAAUUGCAAAUUUGAAUUUGCUAGGUAUAAGUACAUAAGUACUUGUUGCCCUAUAUAUUACAAAAUGAUAAUUUAAGUUGGUAUAUCUUGAAAUUGGUUUUCUUUUUCAAUACUAAAAUUCAAUACAAAGAUAUAAAUGGAA
Long non-coding RNA from Daphnia magna, 1903 nucleotides. RefSeq lists it as uncharacterized. The transcript is spliced from 7 exons. The record is from RefSeq and is a predicted model, not a curated record. NCBI's taxonomy places the organism in Eukaryota, Metazoa, Arthropoda, Branchiopoda, Diplostraca, Daphniidae.